This 245-nucleotide long non-coding RNA is filed under the name Lathyrus oleraceus (garden pea). RNAcentral's name for it is "Pisum sativum (pea) long non-coding RNA (PSAT_LNC018009)". Lineage: Eukaryota; Viridiplantae; Streptophyta; Magnoliopsida; Fabales; Fabaceae. The record is from RNAcentral.
UCGAAUCAAAAAGGUGCCUGACUCGAAUUAAAAUCCAAGAGUCUUUCCUCUUGAUUUGAAUAUAAACCUCUUACUCGAAUCAAAUGGCCUCAAUUUUUUUUAAAAUUUGCAUGUGACUUUUAGUUUUGCCCAUAUAAGAUCAUCUUCGACCGCAUGAGCUAUCUUUAAGCGAUAAGAACUUCAUUAUAUAUUGUUGAUAUCAGAUGUUGUCAUCAUCAAAACCAAAUCAGAAAAAAUCACUAAAG